This is a long non-coding RNA of Hevea brasiliensis (rubber tree), 1056 nucleotides long. RefSeq lists it as uncharacterized. The transcript is spliced from 2 exons. The record is from RefSeq and is a predicted model, not a curated record. NCBI's taxonomy places the organism in Eukaryota, Viridiplantae, Streptophyta, Magnoliopsida, Malpighiales, Euphorbiaceae.
GAUGGAGACGAGUAUAAAUUUUGAAGGCCUAGCUUGAGAAGGUGAUGUUGGAACAGAAUAGAAGUAAGCAAUUUGGUAAAGAUAUCUGCAAGUUGGUGGUGAUAAGGGACUUGCACUGUAGAAAUGAAGCCUUUUGAUAGUUGAUCUCUCACUACAUGAUAGUCGAUUUCAAGAUGUUUUGUUCUUUCGUGGAACACCAUAUUGGUAGCUAUAUGUUUUGUCACCUUAUUGUCAUAGUGUAGAGCAAUUGGGAGAGGAGUUUGCAAGCCAAAAUCAUUGAGAAGAUGGGUAAGCCAUUUGAUUUCACAUACUGUAGUUGUCAUGCUUCUACAUUCUGCCUCAAUUGAAGAUCGAUUGAUGGUGUAUUUUUUCUUUGCCUUCCAAGAAAUUAAGGAAGGACUAAGGAAUACACAAAAACCUGUGAUCAAUUUUUGGGACAUAGGACAAGAAUCCCAAUCUGCAUUGCAGAAAGCUCAAAGCUUAAGGUCAUUAUUUAAUGGGAAGAACAGACUCUUUGAUGGACAUCCUUUCAAAUACCGUAAGACAUGCAUGGUCAUAUCCCAGUGAGGUUUUCUAGGAGCUUACAUAAACUGGCUCAAUUAUUGUGUUGCAUAAGAGACAUAUGGUUUGAUAUAGCAGCAGGCAUUUUACAGCUUCCAUCAACAAAGCCAAGCUCAUCCUUAGCUCUUAAAGCAAUUGUCAUGGACCUACUCCAUGAUAGGUAAUUCUUCCCAGUCAAAGGGAGCACUAACCAGCACCAUUCUAGGGUUAUCUGAGUUUUGAAGAUGGAGAUUACCAUCUUUAGUUGCAGCAUUUUGGGUUGGUGCAGAUCGGUUAUCAAGUUCAACCAUAUUAAGAAGAAAAAAAAAAUGAGCAAAGCAAUAUUUGAAAGGGUAAAAGAAAAAUAAAUCUGAGAGAAAUUCUGCUCAAAUUUGAAGCAAAGGGCGAAAAAACUUAUCAGCAUAGGUUGUGCUUUGACACCAAGAACAAAUAGCUAUUAUCUUGUAGAAAUAAGCUGAAUGAAUUUGCAUUGAGAAAAUAUUUGUUUAUAUACAA